Molecule: ribosomal RNA, 802 nt
Filed under: uncultured bacterium
Lineage: Bacteria
Description: bacterial SSU rRNA
Rfam family: Bacterial small subunit ribosomal RNA
Source: RNAcentral
AGAGUUUGAUCAUGGCUCAGGACGAACGCUGGCGGCGCGCUUAAUACAUGCAAGUCGAGCGAGAACCAUGGCUUCGGCCAUGGGGACAGCGGCGAACGGGUGAGUAACACGUGGGUAAUCAACCCCCGACACCGGGAUAGCCCAGGGAAACUUGGAUUAAUACCGGAUACCCCAUCCGGCUUUCGAGCCGGCUGGAAAAGGGUAGCUUCGGCCUCCGGUCGGGGACGAGCCCGCGGCGGAUUAGCUUGUUGGUGAGGUAAAAGCUCACCAAGGCGACGAUCCGUAGCUGGUCUGAGAGGACGAUCAGCCACACUGGGACUGAGACACGGCCCAGACUCCUACGGGAGGCAGCAGUAGGGAAUCUUGCGCAAUGGGCGAAAGCCUGACGCAGCGACGCCGCGUGAGGGAAGAAGGCCUUCGGGUUGUAAACCUCUUUCAGGAGGGACGAAGCCACUCGGGUUAAUAGCCCAGAGGGUGACGGUACCUCCAGAAGAAGCCCCGGCUAACUACGUGCCAGCAGCCGCGGUAAUACGUAGGGGGCAAGCGUUGUCCGGAUUUAUUGGGCGUAAAGAGCGUGUAGGCGGCCAAACAGGUCAGCUGUGAAAACUCGAGGCUCAACCUCGAGACGUCGGUUGAAACCGUUUGGCUAGAGUCCGGAAGAGGAGAGUGGAAUUCCCGGUGUAGCGGUGAAAUGCGCAGAUAUCGGGAAGAACACCCGUGGCGAAGGCGGCUCUCUGGGACGGUACUGACGCUGAGACGCGAAAGCGUGGGGAGCGAACAGGAUUAGAUACCCUAGUAGUCC